RNAcentral lists this ribosomal RNA (1347 nucleotides) under uncultured bacterium. RNAcentral's name for it is "bacterial SSU rRNA". It matches the Rfam family "Bacterial small subunit ribosomal RNA", at positions 28 to 1381 of the family's 1533-position model. The record is from RNAcentral.
GACGAACGCUGGCGGCGUGCUUAACACAUGCAAGUCGAACGAUGAAGCCUAGCUUGCUAGGUGGAUUAGUGGCGAACGGGUGAGUAAUACGUGAGUAACCUACCUUUAACUCUGGGAUAAGCCUGGGAAACUGGGUCUAAUACCGGAUACGACCAAUCUCCGCAUGGGGUGUUGGUGGAAAGCGUUAUGUAGUGGUUAUAGAUGGGCUCACGGCCUAUCAGCUUGUUGGUGAGGUAACGGCUCACCAAGGCGACGACGGGUAGCCGGCCUGAGAGGGUGACCGGCCACACUGGGACUGAGACACGGCCCAGACUCCUACGGGAGGCAGCAGUGGGGAAUAUUGCACAAUGGGCGCAAGCCUGAUGCAGCGACGCCGCGUGAGGGAUGACGGCCUUCGGGUUGUAAACCUCUGUUAGCAGGGAAGAAGAGAAAUUGACGGUACCUGCAGAGAAAGCGCCGGCUAACUACGUGCCAGCAGCCGCGGUAAUACGUAGGGCGCGAGCGUUGUCCGGAAUUAUUGGGCGUAAAGAGCUUGUAGGCGGUUUGUCGCGUCUGCUGUGAAGGCCGGGGCUUAACCCCGUGUAUUGCAGUGGGUACGGGCAGACUAGAGUGCAGUAGGGGAGACUGGAAUUCCUGGUGUAGCGGUGGAAUGCGCAGAUAUCAGGAGGAACACCGAUGGCGAAGGCAGGUCUCUGGGCUGUAACUGACGCUGAGAAGCGAAAGCAUGGGGAGCGAACAGGAUUAGAUACCCUGGUAGUCCAUGCCGUAAACGUUGGGCACUAGGUGUGGGGGACAUUCCACGUUUUCCGCGCCGUAGCUAACGCAUUAAGUGCCCCGCCUGGGGAGUACGGCCGCAAGGCUAAAACUCAAAGAAAUUGACGGGGGCCCGCACAAGCGGCGGAGCAUGCGGAUUAAUUCGGUGCAACGCGAAGAACCUUACCAAGGCUUGACAUAUACUGGACCGCAUCAGAGAUGGUGUUUCCCUUCGGGGCUGGUAUACAGGUGGUGCAUGGUUGUCGUCAGCUCGUGUCGUGAGAUGUUGGGUUAAGUCCCGCAACGAGCGCAACCCUCGUUCUAUGUUGCCAGCACGUUAUGGUGGGGACUCAUAGGAGACUGCCGGGGUCAACUCGGAGGAAGGUGGGGAUGACGUCAAAUCAUCAUGCCCCUUAUGUCUUGGGCUUCACGCAUGCUACAAUGGCCGGUACAGAGGGUUGCGAUACUGUGAGGUGGAGCUAAUCCCUAAAAGCCGGUCUCAGUUCGGAUUGGGGUCUGCAACUCGACCCCAUGAAGUCGGAGUCGCUAGUAAUCGCAGAUCAGCAACGCUGCGGUGAAUACGUUCCCGGGCCU